Molecule: ribosomal RNA, 582 nt
Filed under: uncultured Tuber
Lineage: Eukaryota; Fungi; Ascomycota; Pezizomycetes; Pezizales; Tuberaceae
Description: eukaryotic LSU rRNA
Rfam family: 5.8S ribosomal RNA (bases 170-323)
Source: RNAcentral
CAUUAUGCAUAUCUGGGACACCCAAGUGUUCCCUGACCCAAACCCUCUCUGUGUACCAAUCCAUGUUGCUUUCCUGGGUGGUUUGCUCCCGGGAAAGGGCCUAUCCAAAGCUAAUAGUUGAAUCAGCAGUCUGAGUUGGCCCAGUGCCGUAUUCUUUGAAUAAGUUUAAAACUUUCAACAACGGAUCUCUUGGCUCUCGCAUCGAUGAAGAACGCAGCGAAAUGCGAUAAGUAAUGUGAAUUGCAGAAUUCAGUGAAUCAUCGAAUCUUUGAACGCACAUUGCGCCUCUUGGUAUUCCUCGGGGCAUGCCUGUUCGAGCGUCACUGCAAACCCGCUCAUAAGUAUUAUGGUAUUGAUGGAAGUGAACUGAGGCUAGCCAUAUGCCUGGAUCACCCCAUCGAAAUGCAUAGGCAGGACAAUCAACCUCUGCAAUGGACUUAGUAACUGUUUUGAAGACAAAAAUCAGUCCCUUGCUUAGGAGCUGGCCUGGCCUCCAUGGACCUCCAUCCAAGAUGAAAUCUGGGUUGACCUCGGAUCAGGUAGGGAUACCCGCUGAACUUAAGCAUAUCAAUAAGCGGAGGA